Molecule: long non-coding RNA, 678 nt
Filed under: Mytilus galloprovincialis (Mediterranean mussel)
Lineage: Eukaryota; Metazoa; Mollusca; Bivalvia; Mytilida; Mytilidae
Source: RNAcentral
ACUGUAAUUAAUAGUUAUCCCAUAAGGACGCGGUGUGUCAGUGUAAGAUCAUCCCGAUGGCCGGAGGCCAGAGGUUGAUCUUACACUGACACACCAAGUCCGAAUGGGAUAACUAUUUUACAUCCCAGCUGUUUUAGAUUAGACGAAAAACCAUUUACAAUUCAUAAAAUCUAGUUUAGAACGCCACACAACCAUUAUAAUAUACUUUAUAUAUUACUAUAUGAUGUAUACCCUUUAUGACCCCCUAACACGAUGAGUAGAUAUCAAACAAUGUCAACUCGCCCCACUGGCCAAUCGGCCCACACUAUAUCGCCACUUUAUGAAAAAAUCGCCCCACUCUUGAAACCGACUCGCCCAACUUUAAAAAAGUGUAAAAUCAAAUUGAACAAUCAGUCUGACAACUCAUUUAUUUAACGAAAAUGGUUUAAACCCCACUGAGUAAAGGUCUGCCAACUCGUCCCCAUUAUAAAAAUAUCUUGCUUCCUUUAAGUAUGUUAAAUUUCUGAUAGUUCGUAUCCAGUCGUCCUGGUGAAGUAGUAUGUGUCGUGGCUUGAUAUGCUAAAGGUCUUGAGUUCGAAUCCCAGCAUAUACACUGGAUUUUUUUCUACGUGAAUUUUGAUAGAUAGUCUUCUCCAUAUAAUUAAUUAUAAGUUUUAUACUGGAUUUGACAUUCCCGCC